Molecule: long non-coding RNA, 1629 nt
Organism: Engraulis encrasicolus (European anchovy)
Lineage: Eukaryota; Metazoa; Chordata; Actinopteri; Clupeiformes; Engraulidae
Exons: 6
Source: RefSeq, a predicted model, not a curated record
CUUGUGCAGUCAGGUUAUAAACAAAAUUUAGAACUCAUGUAUAGGGAUCUAGAGAGAAGACCAGAUGUGACCAGACAGAGAAGAGACAGCACGGCGGAGAGGUCACAGCAGAGAAGGUGGAACAGAACGGAGGGCACGCCAUUGGAUUGUGGUUUCCACACAGGGUACGCAACGCUCUCAAUCCUGCAUCUGGGUCGUGGCUAAGCCACACCCACGCAACGUAAGUACGCUUUUGAAAUACUUAGCGUACUAAAUAUUCUGCUGGCUGUGAAGGCUCUUCCCACUGCUGAGACCCUUUCUCUUUCUUUCCCCAUUGGAGGCAUCGGCCAGUGCCAGUGAAGUAAGGAGCAGAAACCGACUGCUGGAAGGGACGGUAACCUGGGCUUGUUGUGCUAAGCUCACUGCUUCUGCUGCUGACCCCUUGCUGCUUCUGCUGCUUACUCGCUUGCUGACUCUACUGAUGCUGUCGUUUGCUGCUCUAUUUAGUUGCUUUGCACAAACUGGGGUUUUAAUUUGGACUUGAUUGGACUUCCAUUUUAGCAUUGGACAUUUAGGUGCAUCUAACAUGGAAGGUUCCCGCUUCAAUAAUGAACUGUUACAAGUUAAAUUGUAACUUGAACUUUUUUGUCAGCUCGCGACUCUUCAGCACACCUGCAACUUUGUCUGGUCACGGACAAACACAAAGAAAAGAAAGAAACCAAGCUGAAGCAGAAGCAGCAACAGAAGUAGCAGAAGAUGUGUGUCUGGCUGUGGCAGUCCACCCAUCAGGUCCUGAAGUCUACAUGGGAAUCCCAAAGGCUGCCAGGCUCAACGGAGGAGGAGGAGGAGGAGGCAGGUGUUUAAAAGCGCAUCGACUUAGAUGACCCCAUCCCUCCAGCCAACUUCACCAGUCGCUCCCCAUCUCAUCAAGGAGAUUUCCAGGUGUAAUUUUCCAAUGAAGUGUGCCUACAUAACCAAGACCAUAGAAACGCAUGCUGCCAACCACAAUGAAAACUUUGGAAAAUGUCCCCGGAGAGUACUUGUAGGUUUGAGGAAAAUCGCCUGUGCCUGUUUUCAGCGCAAAUUCCAAUUUUUGCUUGAGGCUGCCUUGCUUGUUGAGACUGGUAUUGCUGCUUGUAUAUUGGGAAGCAUCUACUUGGUCCUUGUUCAGUGGACCAGUUAUUCAGAGGGGAUAUUGUUUUUGUUGCGGGACAAGUGGUCAGUGAUAUGUGGGGUGGGGAAAAAAUAUGUAUUACAUAUGAGUGUGACAGCAAAAGUUAUUGGGUGCAAUCAGACACAUUUUGUCAAUAGCUGUACACCUAUGCAACUUUGGGCGUGUCCAUAAGGGUGCAUCUGGUAGCAGUGUGCGGUGUGAUCUUACAUUGUGAUUGAUUUUAAUAACUGCUUUGUGAUAUACAACCUGGAUUAGGUGCCAUCAAAGUUCAUUGUAAAUAAUGUGCGUGGCCCCCCUAUUUCUCAGUUAAUGCAAAAUCACAUCAGUCAUUUGUGCCUGCACAGACAGUUGAAUAUUAACUGUAGUGUUUCUUUUCAUCUGCUUUGUGUGUGUAGUAUCUUUCACAGGUGUGUGAAGAGUCAACCCCGAGAGAUUGCCUACUGACAUGGACGCUAUCAAAACAAUAAAGAAUACUA